GCAUUCGCCCUUCGGGGCGCACCAGGCGCGAAAACUUUACAAUGCUGGCAACAGCGAUAAGGGGACCUCGAGUGCCAGGAUACAAUCUUGGCUGUCGCGAUGCCUAAAAAGCAUUGCAUAGCAAGGGCCGGGCAAGACCGGUGCCAGCCGCCGCGGUAACACCGGCGGCUCGAGUGGUAACCGCUAUUAUUGGGUCUAAAGGGUCUGUAGCCGGCCGGAUAAGUCUUUUGGGAAAUCCAGCUGCUCAACAGUUGGGCUUUCAGAAGAUACUGUUCGGCUCGAGACCGGGAGAGGUGAGAGGUACUUCAGGGGUAGGGGUGAAAUCUUGUAAUCCUUGAAGGACCACCAGUGGCGAAGGCGUCUCACCAGAACGGAUCUGACGGCAAGGGACGAAAGCUAGGGGCACGAACCGGAUUAGAUACCCGGGUAGUCCUAGCCGUAAACGAUACUCGCUAGGUGUCAGCCACGGUGCGACCGUGGUUGGUGCCGUAGGGAAGCCGUGAAGCGAGCCACCUGGGAAGUACGGCCGCAAGGCUGAAACUUAAAGGAAUUGGCGGGGGAGCAC
Molecule: ribosomal RNA, 565 nt
Filed under: uncultured archaeon
Lineage: Archaea
Description: bacterial SSU rRNA
Rfam family: Archaeal small subunit ribosomal RNA
Source: RNAcentral